This 1446-nucleotide ribosomal RNA is filed under the name uncultured marine bacterium. Its description in RNAcentral is "bacterial SSU rRNA". It matches the Rfam family "Bacterial small subunit ribosomal RNA". The record is from RNAcentral.
AGAGUUUGAUCAUGGCUCAGGAUGAACGCUGGCGGCGUGCUUAACACAUGCAAGUCGAACGAACCUUCGGGUUAGUGGCGGACGGGUGAGUAACGCGUGAGAAUCUGCCCUCAGGAGGGGGAUAACGGCUGGAAACGGCCGCUAAUACCCCAUAUGCCGAGAGGUGAAAUGAAAUUCGCCUGAGGAUGAGCUCGCGUCUGAUUAGCUAGUUGGUGGGGUAAGAGCCUACCAAGGCAUCGAUCAGUAGCUGGUCUGAGAGGAUGAUCAGCCACACUGGGACUGAGACACGGCCCAGACUCCUACGGGAGGCAGCAGUGGGGAAUUUUCCGCAAUGGGCGAAAGCCUGACGGAGCAACGCCGCGUGAGGGAUGAAGGCCUCUGGGCUGUAAACCUCUUUUAUCAAGGAAGAAGAUCUGACGGUACUUGAUGAAUAAGCCACGGCUAAUUCCGUGCCAGCAGCCGCGGUAAUACGGGAGUGGCAAGCGUUAUCCGGAAUUAUUGGGCGUAAAGCGUCCGCAGGCGGCCUGAUAAGUCUGUUGUCAAAGCGUGGAGCUUAACUCCAUUUCGGCAAUGGAAACUGUGAGGCUUGAGUGUGGUAGGGGCAGAGGGAAUUCCCGGUGUAGCGGUGAAAUGCGUAGAUAUCGGGAAGAACACCAGUGGCGAAGGCGCUCUGCUGGGCCAUAACUGACGCUCAUGGACGAAAGCCAGGGGAGCGAAAGGGAUUAGAUACCCCUGUAGUCCUGGCCGUAAACGAUGAACACUAGGUGUCGGGGGAAUCGACCCCCUCGGUGUCGUAGCCAACGCGUUAAGUGUUCCGCCUGGGGAGUACGCACGCAAGUGUGAAACUCAAAGGAAUUGACGGGGGCCCGCACAAGCGGUGGAGUAUGUGGUUUAAUUCGAUGCAACGCGAAGAACCUUACCAGGGUUUGACAUCCUGCGAAUCCCUUGGAAACGAGGGAGUGCCUUCGGGAGCGCAGUGACAGGUGGUGCAUGGCUGUCGUCAGCUCGUGUCGUGAGAUGUUGGGUUAAGUCCCGCAACGAGCGCAACCCACGUCUUUAGUUGCCAGCAUUGAGUUGGGCACUCUAGAGAGACCGCCGGUGAUAAACCGGAGGAAGGUGUGGAUGACGUCAAGUCAUCAUGCCCCUUACAUCCUGGGCUACACACGUACUACAAUGCUACGGACAAAGGGCAGCAAACUCGCGAGAGCUAGCAAAUCCCAUAAACCGUGGCUCAGUUCAGAUCGUAGGCUGCAACUCGCCUACGUGAAGGAGGAAUCGCUAGUAAUCGCAGGUCAGCAUACUGCGGUGAAUACGUUCCCGGGCCUUGUACACACCGCCCGUCACACCAUGGAAGUUGGCCACGCCCGAAGCCGUUACUCCAACCCUUGUGGAGGAGGACGUCGAAGGUGGGGCUGAUGACUGGGGUGAAGUCGUAACAAGGUAACC